GUUUUUCGUGCCGCUCACCACGAAAUGUUUUUCGCUGUGGUAAUCACAUCUGAAAGUGGUUUAUACCGGCGGAUUCAUGACGAUCUAAGCUGUCCAUCGGCGUAUACUGCUUGUGUGAUCGCGUUUGCGGCCGCCGGCCGCCGGACAUUCUUGAAAUUCCUAUGCAAAUUGGUAAGUGUACCACCGGCUUAUGGUUAGGUUAUGGUUAGGUUAUGGUUAGGGUUAUGUUUAGGAACGAUGUCAUGCAAAAUAUAGCGUUGGAUUCGCCACGGUUUUACAUUAAAAAUAUAAUAUACACAUUCUUUUGAAAUACGUUCUGAGUGGCACGAAAAGUCCGCCGUUUAAAAUACAUUGGUGCGCAUUUCGUGGUGAGCGCCACGAAAAACAUGACGAAAUCGUGUUGGUGCGCACGAAACCGAAACUAAAACUUACGUGACAGUUUCACGAAUCCCCGUGAGAUCGGGCUGGACAGAAAUAAAUGGUUAGCCAGCAGGAGCAGUCCCUGCCAGCCCUCAUUUCCUUGUUUUAUGAGGAACAAGGGUCAUUUGCUGUGCUGGCUGCGUGACGGUGACAGCUGAGUGAAAGCCGACCUCUGAGCAGGUGGAAGCACAGUUUGAAGAACUUGAACAGAGGUUCUCUUUACUGCUGUGGAUAGGAGAAGGAAAAUAUUUCAUCGUAAAGUAAGCCAACUCUGAGAUAUCAGACAGAAAUAAAUGGUUGGCUGAUUUAGGGUUAGGGUUACCCUAACCCUGGUAUUUGUCUCUUCUAAGUGCAGGAUGAAGGGAGGGCUAACUCUCCUGCUGCUGUGGCUGACUGCAGUGCUGGUGAUGACUAUACUGGGAAAUACUGCAGAGGCCAGGGAGCAUGAACUCCUGGUGAGAAACUUCACCAACCACUUUCUAAAAGUCAUCCCUUCCAAUGACAACAACAGCUCCAGUGUUAUUAAACUGGUGAUGGAGGGGACCCUGAUUUCUCUGAAUGAGACA
Acanthochromis polyacanthus (spiny chromis) is the source of this 986-nucleotide long non-coding RNA. RefSeq lists it as uncharacterized. The transcript has 3 exons. NCBI's taxonomy places the organism in Eukaryota, Metazoa, Chordata, Actinopteri, Pomacentridae. The record is from RefSeq and is a predicted model, not a curated record.